Cyphellophora europaea CBS 101466 is the source of this 94-nucleotide transfer RNA. It matches the Rfam family "tRNA". Rfam says of the family: Transfer RNA (tRNA) molecules are approximately 80 nucleotides in length. Their secondary structure includes four short double-helical elements and three loops (D, anti-codon, and T loops). The record is from Rfam. Lineage: Eukaryota; Fungi; Ascomycota; Eurotiomycetes; Chaetothyriales; Cyphellophoraceae.
UCUUCAUUGGUCUAGUGGUCAUGAUUUCCGCUUGUCAUCUUCUCUUGCAGGAAAACAAGCGCGGGAGACCUGGGUUCGAUUCCCAGAUGGAGAG